GAUGAACGCUAGCGGGAUGCUUAACACAUGCAAGUCGAACGGCCCUUCGGGGCAGUGGCAAACGGGCGAGUAACGCGUACUUAACCUACCCAGAAGUUGGGGACAACUACGGAGACGUAGCUAAUCCCCAAUACUCCCCUUACUAUGAAAAAUAAGGGGCAAAGAUUUAUCGCUUUUGGAGGGGGUGCGUCCUAUCAGGUAGUUGGUAAGGUAAUGGCUUACCAAGCCUAUGACGGGUAGCCGGUCUGAGAGGAUGUCCGGCCGCAAUGGAACUGAGACACGGUCCAUACUCCUACGGGAGGCAGCAGUGGGGAAUCUUGCGCAAUGGGCGAAAGCCUGACGCAGCAAUCCCGCGUGAAGGAUGAAGCAUUAUGGUGUGUAAACUUCUUUUCUGGUGGAAGACGAAUGACGGUACACCAGGAAUAAGGGACGGCUAACUACGUGCCAGCCGCCGCGGUAAUU
This 462-nucleotide ribosomal RNA is filed under the name uncultured bacterium. RNAcentral describes it as "bacterial SSU rRNA". It matches the Rfam family "Bacterial small subunit ribosomal RNA", at positions 28 to 525 of the family's 1533-position model. The record is from RNAcentral.